GGAAACAUUGAGUUAAACCACUAAAUGACUUAUCUAGUGUUGUUUGCGGUUAGAAUAUGUUAAAAUACACUAAAUAUGAUUUAUGAAAAGUGCUAGUGAUUUAUGAAAACUGUUUAGCAAUGUGGAGAAACACUAGUUGAAAUUGGGUCCAAAAUGGGCUAAGAACUCGGAAACCUUGCGUUGAUCCACGAAAUGACUUAUCUAGUGCUGUUUUGGGUUAUAAUAUGUUAGGAUACAAUAAAUUUGAUUGAUUACAAGUGCUAGAGAUGCAUGAAGAGUGUUUAGAUGUGUGGAGAAAGACAUGUUAAAAUUGGGUUCCAAAUGGGCUAAGAACUCGGAAACAUUGCGUUAAACCACUAAAUGACUUAUCUAGUGUUGUUUGGGGAUAUAAUAUGUUAUAAUACAAUACAUUUGAUUGAUUACAAGUGCUAGAGAUGCAUGAAGAGUGUUU
RNAcentral lists this long non-coding RNA (451 nucleotides) under Capsella rubella. Its description in RNAcentral is "long non-coding RNA (CRUB_LNC000442)". Lineage: Eukaryota; Viridiplantae; Streptophyta; Magnoliopsida; Brassicales; Brassicaceae. The record is from RNAcentral.